AUACGGAGGAUCCGAGCGUUAUCCGGAUUUAUUGGGUUUAAAGGGUGCGUAGGCGGACUCAUAAGUCAGUGGUGAAAGUUUGCAGCUUAACUGUAAAAUUGCCAUUGAAACUGUUAGUCUUGAGUGCAAGUGAGGUAGGCGGAAUGUGUAAUGUAGCGGUGAAAUGCUUAGAUAUUACACAGAACACCAAUUGCGAAGGCAGCUUACUGGUAUGUAACUGACGCUGAGGCACGAAAGCGUGGGGAUC
Molecule: ribosomal RNA, 247 nt
Filed under: uncultured bacterium
Lineage: Bacteria
Description: partial 16S ribosomal RNA
Rfam family: Bacterial small subunit ribosomal RNA
Source: RNAcentral